Molecule: long non-coding RNA, 255 nt
Organism: Diorhabda carinulata
Lineage: Eukaryota; Metazoa; Arthropoda; Insecta; Coleoptera; Chrysomelidae
Exons: 2
Source: RefSeq, a predicted model, not a curated record
GCAGAUAUCAAAAUUCGCCGAUCCAAUCCAAAAGUUAACGAUAUUUCCGAAUCGCCCUGUAUUCGAAACUAAACCAUUCCGGACGCGUUAAUGUUGUUGGCAUAUAGAAGCAGAUGUGCGGUGUCAGAUAUCUGGAGACACUACGACGAAUAAAAAAUGGCACUACGGCUUGUUUAUAAUAAUAAUAAAACACAUUUUUCAUAUUAAAUCGUUUUCUAUUUAUGGAUGCUAAAAUAAACGUACUGAAAAUAACAA